GCCGCGCCGGGUGAAUUAAUGUCUGGGAAACUGCCUGAUGGAGGGGGAUAACUACUGGAAACGGUAGCUAAUACCGCAUAACGUCGCAAGACCAAAGUGGGGGACCUUCGGGCCUCAUGCCAUCAGAUGUGCCCAGAUGGGAUUAGCUGGUAGGUGGGGUAACGGCUCACCUAGGCGACGAUCCCUAGCUGGUCUGAGAGGAUGACCAGCCACACUGGAACUGAGACACGGUCCACACUCCUACGGGAGGCAGCAGUGGGGAAUAUUGCACAAUGGGCGCAAGCCUGAUGCAGCCAUGCCGCGUGUGUGAAGAAGGCCUUCGGGUUGUAAAGCACUUUCAGCGGGGAGGAAGGCGGUGAGGUUAAUAACCUUGUCGAUUGACGUUACCCGCAGAAGAAGCACCGGCUAACUCCGUGCCAGCAGCCGCGGUAAUACGGAGGGUGCAAGCGUUAAUCGGAAUUACUGGGCGUAAAGCGCACGCAGGCGGUCUGUCAAGUCGGAU
RNAcentral lists this ribosomal RNA (502 nucleotides) under Klebsiella variicola. Its description in RNAcentral is "bacterial SSU rRNA". It matches the Rfam family "Bacterial small subunit ribosomal RNA", at positions 95 to 593 of the family's 1533-position model. Lineage: Bacteria; Pseudomonadati; Pseudomonadota; Gammaproteobacteria; Enterobacterales; Enterobacteriaceae. The record is from RNAcentral.